This 508-nucleotide ribosomal RNA is filed under the name uncultured bacterium. RNAcentral's name for it is "partial 16S ribosomal RNA". It matches the Rfam family "Bacterial small subunit ribosomal RNA", at positions 28 to 523 of the family's 1533-position model. The record is from RNAcentral.
GACGAACGCUGGCGGCGCGCUUAACACAUGCAAGUCGAGCGGGAACCGGGCCUUCGGGCCCGGGGACAGCGGCGAACGGGUGAGUAACACGUGGGUAAUCUGCCCUCGGUACUGGGAUAGCCCGGGGAAACCCGGAUUAAUACCGGAUAGCCCUUCGAGCCUUCGGGCUCGCAGGAAAAGGUAGCUUCGGCCUCCGACCGAGGAUGAGCCCGCGGCGGAUUAGCUUGUUGGUGGGGUAACGGCCUACCAAGGCGACGAUCCGUAGCUGGUCGGAGAGGACGAUCAGCCACACUGGGACUGGGACACGGCCCAGACUCCUACGGGAGGCAGCAGUGGGGAAUCUUGCCCAAUGGGCGAAAGCCUGAGGCAGCGACGCCGCGUGCGGGAAGAAGGCCCUCGGGUUGUAAACCGCUUUCAGGAGGGACGAAGCCACUCGGGUUAAUAGCCUAGAGGGUGACGGUACCUCCAGAAGAAGCCCCGGUUAACUACGUGCCAGCAGCCGCAGUAA